GGCCCCUUGGUCGAGUGGUUAAGACACCACCCUUUCAAGGUGGUAGCAGGGGUUCGAUUCCCCUAGGGGUCACCA
This 75-nucleotide transfer RNA is filed under the name Brockia lithotrophica. RNAcentral's name for it is "tRNA-Glu". It matches the Rfam family "tRNA". Rfam says of the family: Transfer RNA (tRNA) molecules are approximately 80 nucleotides in length. Their secondary structure includes four short double-helical elements and three loops (D, anti-codon, and T loops). The record is from RNAcentral. Lineage: Bacteria; Bacillati; Bacillota; Bacilli; Thermicanales; Thermicanaceae.